CUUCUUACUAAUUUUUGUUACUUUCUAUGACAGGUGUUUGGAGACCUCUGGGAUAAAGCAUUUCUCACUGCUGCCUCUGCUCCUCUACAUGGGAAGAAACAUAGGUAAAGAAAUGUGACUGUGUAAGACUCCUAGCAUCUAUAAUCGUUGGUCGGUUUGGAAAUACAUAUUGCUCUUGCAUAUAAUAUUGUUGUCGGAAGGAAAGAAAGCAAGCUGUCUUACAAUUGAGCACAAUUUGUCAGCAAAAACAGAGUGUGGCCAGACUGCUGCUUGUUAGAAGCUGCACCAAGAUAACAUGCCAUGUCACAGCAUGCUGCGAAUGUUGGAACACGUGGCCAAGCACAGGGUUGCCACAUUGCCUCACCCUCCUUAGUCCAGGUCUUCUUCCUCUCCAAUGGAACCUCAGUGGAUACCAAUUCGGCUCUGUAGAAGGUGUCCAAAAUGCUGUGACAGUGUCCCUAAAGAGGAUCAUGGAAAGCAAGUUCCAGAAGGCAUACGUGCAGUGGGAAUCGCGUCACACGCUUUGUCGAAGUACAAGGGUGCUACUUCGAGGAAUUCUAAGGAUUAGUACCAGGUAAUUCAGUAAAAAAAAAAUUAAAUUAAUUCAGUUCUGCUUCUUACUGAUUAAACCCUGUAUUUAUUUUGUAAAAGAAAUAAACCGAUGGAAAAACUUGCAACCUGUUCCAA
RNAcentral lists this long non-coding RNA (687 nucleotides) under Schistocerca americana (American grasshopper). RNAcentral describes it as "uncharacterized LOC124595501, transcript variant X2". The record is from RNAcentral. Lineage: Eukaryota; Metazoa; Arthropoda; Insecta; Orthoptera; Acrididae.